AUACAGAGGGUGCGAGCGUUAAUCGGAAUUACUGGGCGUAAAGCGCGCGUAGGCGGCUUAUUGAGUCAGAUGUGAAAUCCCCGGGCUCAACCUGGGAACUGCAUCUGAUACUGGUAAGCUAGAGUUUGGGAGAGGGAAGUAGAAUUUCAGGUGUAGCGGUGAAAUGCAUAGAGAUCUGAAGGAAUACCAGUGGCGAAGGCGACUUCCUGGCCUAAAACUGACGCUGAGGUGCGAAAGCGUGGGUAGCAAACGGGAUUAGAAACCCCAGUAGUCC
This 274-nucleotide ribosomal RNA is filed under the name uncultured bacterium. RNAcentral's name for it is "partial 16S ribosomal RNA". It matches the Rfam family "Bacterial small subunit ribosomal RNA", at positions 523 to 796 of the family's 1533-position model. The record is from RNAcentral.